RNAcentral lists this long non-coding RNA (302 nucleotides) under Amborella trichopoda. RNAcentral's name for it is "long non-coding RNA (ATRI_LNC004477)". Lineage: Eukaryota; Viridiplantae; Streptophyta; Magnoliopsida; Amborellales; Amborellaceae. The record is from RNAcentral.
GAAGAGGUCUAAUCCUCCUACACAUGCAUGCUCCUGUUAAAGGUACUUUGGUGGGAAGAUCAAAUGUGACAAAUGCAAAUGGAUCUGCAAAACACUAUCCACCAAGCCCCUAAUUUCCGAUUCCGCCUAAACCUGACUGCUCUUUCAUUUCUGCCACGAAUCAUAUGUAAGCCAUGGUAGUUCAUAUAGUUUAACCACUCGAUAACUCGACAGAGACAUAUUUACUUUGCACAUCCUUCUACCUUUAAACUGAGAUGUGCACUAGUGAGGUCAAGAUCAAUAAUCUUAACCAUCCACCAGAA